This 989-nucleotide ribosomal RNA is filed under the name Kocuria sp. YIM 75764. RNAcentral describes it as "bacterial SSU rRNA". It matches the Rfam family "Bacterial small subunit ribosomal RNA", at positions 33 to 1038 of the family's 1533-position model. Lineage: Bacteria; Bacillati; Actinomycetota; Actinomycetes; Micrococcales; Micrococcaceae. The record is from RNAcentral.
GGGCUGGCGGCGUGCUUACCAUGCAAGUCGAACGAUGAUGCCCAGCUUGCUGGGCGGAUUAGUGGCGAACGGGUGAGUAAUACGUGAGUAACCUGCCCUUGACUCUGGGAUAAGCCUGGGAAACUGGGUCUAAUACUGGAUACUACCUCUUACCGCAUGGUGGGUGGUGGAAAGGGUUUUACUGGUUUUGGAUGGGCUCACGGCCUAUCAGCUUGUUGGUGGGGUAAUGGCUCACCAAGGCGACGACGGGUAGCCGGCCUGAGAGGGUGACCGGCCACACUGGGACUGAGACACGGCCCAGACUCCUACGGGAGGCAGCAGUGGGGAAUAUUGCACAAUGGGCGGAAGCCUGAUGCAGCGACGCCGCGUGAGGGAUGACGGCCUUCGGGUUGUAAACCUCUUUCAGUAGGGAAGAAGCGAGAGUGACGGUACCUGCAGAAGAAGCGCCGGCUAACUACGUGCCAGCAGCCGCGGUAAUACGUAGGGCGCAAGCGUUGUCCGGAAUUAUUGGGCGUAAAGAGCUCGUAGGCGGUUUGUCGCGUCUGCUGUGAAAGCCCGGGGCUCAACCCCGGGUCUGCAGUGGGUACGGGCAGACUAGAGUGCAGUAGGGGAGACUGGAAUUCCUGGUGUAGCGGUGAAAUGCGCAUAUAUCAGGAGGAACACCGAUGGCGAAGGCAGGUCUCUGGGCUGUUACUGACGCUGAGGAGCGAAAGCAUGGGGAGCGAACAGGAUUAGAUACCCUGGUAGUCCAUGCCGUAAACGUUGGGCACUAGGUGUGGAGGACAUUCCACGUUUUCCGCGCCGUAGCUAACGCAUUAAGUGCCCCGCCUGGCGAGUGCGGCCGCAAGGCUGAAACUAAAGGAAUUGACGGGGGGCGCACAAGCGGCGGAGCAUGCAGAUUAAUCUAUGCAUCACGAAGAACCUUACAACGUCUGGACGUUCACCGGACCGGCCCAGAGAUGGGGUUUCCCUCGGGGCUGGUGGACAGG